Molecule: ribosomal RNA, 632 nt
Filed under: uncultured archaeon
Lineage: Archaea
Description: bacterial SSU rRNA
Rfam family: Archaeal small subunit ribosomal RNA
Source: RNAcentral
AAGUCUGCCGCCUGGGGAGUACGGUCGCAAGACCGAAACUUAAAGGAAUUGGCGGGGGAGCACCACAAGGGGUGAAGCCUGCGGUUCAAUUGGAGUCAACGCCGGAAAUCUUACCGGGGGCGACAGCAGAGUGAAGGUCAAGCUGAAGACUUUACUAGACAAGCUGAGAGGAGGUGCAUGGCCGUCGCCAGCUCGUGCCGUGAGGUGUCCUGUUAAGUCAGGUAACGAGCGAGAUCCCUGCCUUUAGUUGCUACCUUUACUCUCAGGAGGAGUGGGGCUAAUUAAAGGGACUGCCGCUGCUAAGGCGGAGGAAGGAGGGGGCUACGGCAGGUCAGUAUGCCCCGAAACCCUCGGGCCACACGCGGGCUGCAAUGGUAAGGACAAUAGGUUCCGAUUCCGAAAGGAGGAGGCAAUCCCUAAACCUUACCUCAGUUAUGAUUGAGGGCUGAAACUCGCCCUCAUGAAUGUGGAAUCCCUAGUAACCGCGUGUCACUAUCGCGCGGUGAAUACGUCCCUGCUCCUUGCACACACCGCCCGUCGCUUCAUCGAAGUUGGUUUUUGGCGAGGUGGUGCCUAAUUGACACUAUCGAACCUGGGGUCAGCAACGAGGGAGAAGUCGUAACAAGGUAGCC